This 253-nucleotide ribosomal RNA is filed under the name uncultured bacterium. RNAcentral describes it as "partial 16S ribosomal RNA". It matches the Rfam family "Bacterial small subunit ribosomal RNA", at positions 524 to 776 of the family's 1533-position model. The record is from RNAcentral.
UACAGAGGUCUCAAGCGUUGUUCGGAUUCAUUGGGCGUAAAGGGUGCGUAGGUGGCCUGGUAAGUCGGAUGUGAAAUCCCGGGGCUCAACCCCGGAACUGCAUUCGAUACUGCUGCGCUAGAGUACUGGAGAGGAGAUUGGAAUUUACGGUGUAGCAGUGAAAUGCGUAGAUAUCGUAAGGAAGACCAGUGGCGAAGGCGGAUCUCUGGACAGUUACUGACACUGAGGCACGAAGGCCAGGGGAGCAAACGGG